CUGAAAUCACAUUGGUUAACAGUUCUA
This 27-nucleotide unclassified non-coding RNA is filed under the name Dictyostelium discoideum. The record is from RNAcentral. Lineage: Eukaryota; Evosea; Eumycetozoa; Dictyosteliales; Dictyosteliaceae.